AAAGAUUUAGUUUAAAUUAAAAACGUUAGAUUGUAAAUCUAAAAAUUUUUAAUCUUUG
Molecule: transfer RNA, 58 nt
Filed under: Strigamia maritima
Lineage: Eukaryota; Metazoa; Arthropoda; Chilopoda; Geophilomorpha; Linotaeniidae
Source: Rfam by way of RNAcentral